UACGAAGGGGGCUAGCGUUGUUCGGAAUCACUGGGCGUAAAGCGCACGUAGGCGGAUGUGCCAGUCAGGGGUGAAAUCCCGGAGCUCAACUUCGGAACUGCCUCUGAUACAGCACGUCUUGAGUCCGGAAGAGGUGGGUGGAAUUCCUAGUGUAGAGGUGAAAUUCGUAGAUAUUAGGAAGAACACCGGUGGCGAAGGCGGCCCACUGGCCCGGUACUGACGCUGAGGUGCGAAAGCGUGGGGAGCAAACAGG
This 253-nucleotide ribosomal RNA is filed under the name uncultured bacterium. Its description in RNAcentral is "partial 16S ribosomal RNA". It matches the Rfam family "Bacterial small subunit ribosomal RNA", at positions 524 to 776 of the family's 1533-position model. The record is from RNAcentral.